AGAGUUUGAUCCUGGCUCAGGACGAACGCUGGCGGCGUGCUUAACACAUGCAAGUCUAAGGAGAACGGAUUCUUCGGAAUCCUAUUAAACUGGCGAACGGGUGAGUAUCGCGUAGACAACUUACCCAGGGAUUUGGGAUAACACCGAGAAAUUGGUGCUAAUACUGGAUAAUAUCAUAAGGACCUCGGUCUUUGUGAUCAAAGGUGGCUUCGGCUACCGUCUCUGGAUGGGUCUGCGUCUGAUUAGCUAGUUGGUAGGGUAAUGGCCUACCAAGGCAACGAUCAGUAGCUGGUCUGAGAGGAUGAUCAGCCACACUGGGACUGAGAUACGGCCCAGACUCCUACGGGAGGCAGCAGUGGGGAAUAUUGCGCAAUGGACGAAAGUCUGACGCAGCAACGCCGCGUGAUCGAUGACGCUUCAAGGAGUGUAAAGAUCUGUCCUAGGGGAAGAAUGGUUUCAAGUUGAAUAAGCUUGAUUCGUGACGGUACCUUAGAAGAAAGCACCGGCUAACUUCGUGCCAGCAGCCGCGGUAAUACGAGGGGUGCAAGCGUUGUCCGGAUUCAUUGGGUGUAAAGGGUGCGUAGGUGGAAUCGUAAGUUGGAAUUUAAAUCCCGCAGCUUAACUGCGGACCUGGUUUCAAAACUGCGGUUCUUGAGUUCGAAAGAGGGGAGUGGAAUUCCUAGUGUAGCGGUGGAAUGCGUAGAUAUUAGGAGGAACACCAGUGGCGAAGGCGGCUCUCUGGUUCGAUACUGACACUAAGGCACGAAAGCGUGGGGAGCAAACAGGAUUAGAUACCCUGGUAGUCCACGCCGUAAACGAUGAGC
RNAcentral lists this ribosomal RNA (824 nucleotides) under uncultured bacterium. RNAcentral's name for it is "bacterial SSU rRNA". It matches the Rfam family "Bacterial small subunit ribosomal RNA", at positions 8 to 814 of the family's 1533-position model. The record is from RNAcentral.